AUGUUUGACGGAGUUGAGCGGAUGCUUCGGGGAGUCAGGCAUGUGCCAGGGCUAAAGAGGAAUCUAAUUUUGCUUGGUGUUCUUCAUGGUGGUAUGGUAUUUCGUUGCGAUCGGGAUAAGAAGACCAUGAGAAUCAUGGAAGAUGAGGUGACCGUGAUGAUUGGAGCGAGGACGGCUUCGCAUCUUUACAAGUUGCAAGGGAGCACUAUUGCAGGUGGAGCCACGGAGACUAGAGUUGCAGGAGUAGCAGCGGGGUCUCACAGGGGCGGCGGGUCUGGGGCAGACUCGUCGAGUAUCUCUCAGUAA
Molecule: ribosomal RNA, 306 nt
Filed under: Triticum aestivum (bread wheat)
Lineage: Eukaryota; Viridiplantae; Streptophyta; Magnoliopsida; Poales; Poaceae
Description: partial small subunit ribosomal RNA
Source: RNAcentral